Ostrinia nubilalis (European corn borer) is the source of this 2463-nucleotide long non-coding RNA. RefSeq lists it as uncharacterized. The record is from RefSeq and is a predicted model, not a curated record. The transcript is spliced from 2 exons. Lineage: Eukaryota; Metazoa; Arthropoda; Insecta; Lepidoptera; Crambidae.
CACACGUCCCGGUUGCCGGCUAACCGGCGCCGGGUAUCCGGUGGUGAAGUGUAUGGGCAUGGUGCGUAGCUUUCACAUGUUCCGGCGUAAUUAAUCCGGCAUGCCCAUACACUUCACGACCGGGUACCCGGCGCCGGUUAGCCGGCAACCUCGACGUGUGAAAAGGGCCUAACGAUCGAUGCAAAAAAAUACAGGGUGUAAUUUUUAACAGAUUUUAGUUGGUUCGAAUCCCGGGUGUGGAAAGCAAAUUAUUGGAAAUCUUUGAAUGCAGUUCUAUUUCUUUUUAAAAAUAAAGGAAUGUUUUCCUUGAGAAAAAAAUUCUAUCUACAAUAAAUGUACUAUAAAUGGCUAAGCAGAUACAUAAUUUAAGGUCCCAUUAUUUGUAUUGUAUUGCUGUUGGUUUUCCGAAUAAAAUAAAUAAAAAUAUUAAGAGUACUUUCCCUCCAGGUGGCAUUACAAAAUUCCACCCUGUAUAUCGAGUUAAUUGACUAUAGUUUAACACUUCAAUAUUUGACCCAUCACUAAUCUUUUAGAUUGCUCGAGUGUAGUUUGGUAAUAUUACCUCGGAAAAGAGAUCGUUCCAUCCACGAAGACGCGACCAUUCUUCCGCUAAUGUUUGACGCUCGGAUUGCUCGGAUCAAACUCCCCGCACCCCGCGCUUCUCUCGACCAAAAAUUGGAGGGGCGCGACUUCGUGGAUUGAUCCAUAGCUUUUAAAUGGGAUCAUCUAGGUAUAUCAGCGAAUAUAGCAGCCGUGUGGUCUUAUGUUAUUAGCCUGUAGACGUUACAUAAAUGCGUAUCUUAUAAGUUAAAAUCCAUAAAAUUCCAAAAAAUUUAAAGCUAUCCAAGAAUGCGUUUAACGAGCACUUUCACACGUCCCAAAAAUAUUAUUGACUACCACUGCUUCGGGACAGUAAUAUGGCCCAGUGCUGAGGAGAGGCAGCGCAAAAAAAUCGGUCAAUGACGGCAAUCGUUUUUAGCGGUCACCAGUUGGCGCCACUGUAGAAUAAGUCUAGUGGCGCAGACCACUGAUUAUUGGCUGGCCGAUAGUUGGGUCGGGCUGUUAAAUCAGUAUGGAGAUGUAUGAAAGUGCGCAAAUUACACCGAUUUGUUAUCGGCCGAUUCUUCAUACAAAUUAGAAUCGGGCCUAACUAUUGGCCAACUAAAAGUCGAUGGUCUGCGCCUAGACUAAGACAGAAGUCGCUCGCUAGUGGCUAACAUAGUGGCGCACUGGCGCCCAACUAGCAAACUGAAGCGGUAGGAAGACUUUAACUACACUGGCCUAAUUCACAUAUUUACAGAGGGCCUAGUGUGAGUUUAUAUCAAACGCGCUCACUAGUAAGCGCGUCAAAAAAUGACAUUAAAUGUAUGACGGAUUGUACAGCGCCCCUAGCGGGAAACGUUUAGAAACUAAAAUUUUCAUACAUCGUUUGAUGUAAACUCACACUGUACUAAGGGCCUUUCAUUUGCCAGUAAUGGUACCAACUCUUGAGUACAAAAACGACAGCCCUUGUUGAGAUACGCCUUAAUGUAACAUCAGUGACGAAAUAUAUCGCGAGUAACUCCUUUAAGACAGUGUAAUGUUUGCUCAUAUCAUUAAUUUUUAGUCGCACGUUUAGAGGAAGUGAAAUUAUUCGUAUUUAAGUGAUGGCAGACGAUGACCUAUCCUUGUCGCUCUUCAACGGUUAGAGUAGGACAGCGUUACAGAACUGUCAAGUUAACACCAAUUUUUAAUACGAACUAUUUUUAAAUUUAUAUUUAUAAUUAAACUUACUUGAAGCUGCGAAUAUGUUUCAAUAGGUAUUUAAGUGGUUAACAUUUUUUUCAUUGGACGUCAUCAGCGAUUUUUUCUAGCCAUUAGCAUUUAAUUAAAACUACCCUCAGUCUUGGUUAAUUAUUAAAAAAAACUUAAGAAAAUUUGGAUUCAUCGAUAUCGUCUCUAGAUAAUGGAUGUUAUUCAAACUAUAUUUAUUUUGAAUUAACAACAGCCUGUUAACCCUAUAUCCAAUAUAGUGAAUAUUUUUGUUAUUAGGAACCUUAAUAACCUACAUAAAAUUCAAAAUGUGGCAAUAAUUCACCAAAUUUCGCCAUUAAUUGCCAACAUUAUCUUUUAUUUUUACUAUCAUAAAUAAUAAACAUCCGUAUUCUUAGUUGAUCCUAAAAUUAAUGCAAGCCAAGUUGUUUCUUAUUUAAGUGAUAAUACACAAAUUGUCUUGCGCUAAAUCUUUGCUAGAUUUGUUAGGAUUGACUUAAGAAUACAGGUUUUUAGUAGGAACUGUACAAAAUUGCCCCCCUUUAAUAGGAUUCACAUUAUAACCGCUAGAGGGCGCUACGAAAUCACUCAAAAUUGUUCGAACGUUUUCCCAAAGAAGUACUUUCUGAUUUUAUUUUUUUAGAAAAACGAGGGAGGGAUGUCGACGAUUGUAAAUAUAGUUUUUGUAAGAAUAAAGGCAUUCUUUCCGGA